GGGGAAUAUUGCACAAUGGGCGGAAGCCUGAUGCAGCAACGCCGCGUGCGGGAUGACGGCCUUCGGGUUGUAAACCGCUUUCGCCUGUGACGAAGCGUGAGUGACGGUAAUGGGUAAAGAAGCACCGGCUAACUACGUGCCAGCAGCCGCGGUGAUACGUAGGGUGCGAGCGUUGUCCGGAUUUAUUGGGCGUAAAGGGCUCGUAGGUGGUUGAUCGCGUCGGAAGUGUAAUCUUGGGGCUUAACCCUGAGCGUGCUUUCGAUACGGGUUGACUCGAGGAAGGUAGGGGAGAAUGGAAUUCCUGGUGGAGCGGUGGAAUGCGCAGAUAUCAGGAGGAACACCAGUGGCGAAGGCGGUUCUCUGGGCCUUUCCUGACGCUGAGGAGCGAAAGCGUGGGGAGCGAACAGGCUUAGAUACCCUGGUAGUCCACGCUGUAAACGGUGGGUACUAGGUGUGGGGUCCAUUCCACGGGUUCCGUGCCGUAGCUAACGCUUUAAGUACCCCGCCUGGGGAGUACGGCCGCAAGGCUA
Molecule: ribosomal RNA, 530 nt
Filed under: uncultured bacterium
Lineage: Bacteria
Description: bacterial SSU rRNA
Rfam family: Bacterial small subunit ribosomal RNA
Source: RNAcentral